Molecule: ribosomal RNA, 254 nt
Filed under: uncultured bacterium
Lineage: Bacteria
Description: partial 16S ribosomal RNA
Rfam family: Bacterial small subunit ribosomal RNA
Source: RNAcentral
UACGGAGGGUGCGAGCGUUGCUCGGAAUCACUGGGCGUAAAGCGUACGCAGGCGGAUCGUUAAGUCGGGUGUGAAAGCCCGGGGCUCAACCCCGGAAUUGCGCCCGAUACUGGCGAGCUUGAGUACGGGAGAGGGAUAGCGGAAUUCCUGGUGUAGAGGUGAAAUUCGUAGAUAUCAGGAAGAACACCAGUGGCGAAAGCGGCUUCCUGGCCCGAUACUGACGCUCAUGUACGAAAGCGUGGGGAGCAAACAGG